This 3311-nucleotide unclassified non-coding RNA is filed under the name Hevea brasiliensis (rubber tree). Lineage: Eukaryota; Viridiplantae; Streptophyta; Magnoliopsida; Malpighiales; Euphorbiaceae. The record is from RNAcentral.
CAAAGCUGCCGUAGCCGUAGGGGUUGCUUCUUUUUUGUUAAUCAUUUUCUAACAAUUUUGAAAUCAAUACCAGAAGUGACACAAAAGACAACACAUUACGGCUUAGUUCACUCAACCUGUCACCCCCUUUGUUCGUAAAUCUUUGUCCGAUUUCCUCUCAGGCAUGUGACUUCCAUAAAUCCCACAAUCAUCACUAACAAAAAAGCUUAAACCCACUUAUUUACUCUUUUCUGCCUACAAAAUUUCUUAAAAUAUAACCCUUUAACCAGUAAUUGAGAAUGGGCGGCUGUACCCAACAGCUACAGCCUUGCCUCCUUGUGUACUCCUUAUAUGUCAUAAUUCAUUGCACAAUUAUUGCCCACUUCUUUCUCUGUGUUGGGAUUCGGGAUUUCAAGCUUUUGUUCACUUCAAUUGAGGACUUUCAUCGAAAACGCGGGGAGGAACAGCGAUAUAGUGAGUUUUAGGUAGACAAAGAGCAAUGUCUCUGAGACCCAGUUCGCGUACUGAGGCACGAAAAAAAUCCUACAAGAGUGGCGUCGACGGAGAUGAAGCUCGACGAAGGAGGGAGGACAAUUUGGUUGAGAUUAGGAAGAGUAAGAGAGAGGAUAGUCUUCUUAAGAAAAGGAGAGAAGGGCUUCUUCUUCAAUCUCAGAAUUUAAGUGAGCUUUCACAAGCCAAUGCUGGGAUCGACAAAAAGGUUCUUGUAUAUUUUAGACUGCCGAUUUCAUGUUUUUAAUGUUUACUUUGUUAGUUUAGUUUCAAGCUUUGUGGUUUUGAUUUUGUCUGCAAUGCUGUUUGAUUUCUGGGUUGAUUGAUGGGGUUAUGACAUUGGUGAAACAGAAGAGAUAUCUGAGGUUGGAAGAUUUUAAGUUUAUCAGUCAUUGGGAGAGAUAAGGAACGCCUAGUUAAAUGAGACUAAUUCAACUAUUUACUUUAGAUAAUCUAGCUGAUUGCUAUUGUAAUGGCAACCUAAAGAUGAAUUCAGAAGAGAUAAAGAACUUAUUUUUAUUGUCUUUUCCUUCUUUGGAAUGAAAUUUCAUCACUUGUUCUAAUUCUCAGCAUUGAUGGCAGUUAGAAAAGCUUCCUGUAAUGGCAGAAGGAGUGUUAUCGGACAACCCUACCCUGCAGUUGGAAGCCACUACUCACUUCAGAAAGCUAUUGUCAAUUGAGCGCUGCCCUCCCAUCGAUGAGGUGAUAAAAGUAGGUGUUGUUUCUUGCUUUGUGGAGUUCCUGGAUAGGCAUGAUCUGCCUCAGCUCCAAGGUUUGAUUUUUGCUUCAUUAUCAGUUUGAAGCGGCUUGGGCAUUAACAAAUAUUGUGUCUGGGACAUCAGAACAUACACGUGUUGUUAUUGAUCAUGGUGCUAUCCCCAAAUUUGUGCAACUUCUUGGCUCUGCAAAUGAUGAUGUCCGGGAACAGGUUGACUUGAAUCUUGUUCGUUUCCCAAACUCUAUUGUUUGCUUAAAGCAUGUGUAACCCCUUCCUUUUGUUAACAUCCAUGCCAAAUAAGCAGGCAGUGUGGGCAUUGGGUAAUGUUGCUGGUGACUCUCUUAGUUGUAGGGAUCUUGUUCUUGGCCAUGGUGCACUAAUGCCAUUACUUGCACAAUUCAAUGAGCACUCAAAACUAUCAAUGCUAAGGAAUGCUAGUUGGACGUUAUCAAACUUCUGUCGUGGAAAGCCACCAGCUCCAUUUGAGCAGGUUCAGCCAGCAUUGCCAGCCCUUCAGCACCUUAUCUACUCAAUCGAUGAUGAAGUUUUAACUGAUGCCUGCUGGGCACUUUCUUAUCUUUCCGAUGGCACAAAUGACAAAAUUCAGGCUGUGGUUGAAGCAGGCGUUGCUCCACGACUUGUGGAGCUUCUACUUCAUCCAUCAACAACAGUCGUUGUACCUGCACUUCGAACUGUAGGGAACAUUGUCACGGGUGAUGAUGUGCAGACUCAGUGUAUAAUUGACAAUCAAGGGCUCCCUUGUCUCUACCAACUUCUCACACAAAACUACAAAAAGAGCAUCCAGAAAGAAGCCUGCUGGACAAUUUCAAAUAUCACUGCUGGGAAUAGAAAUCAAAUACAGGCUGUAAUUGAAGCAAAUAUCAUUUCUCCUCUUGUACACUUGCUACAACAUGCUGAAUUUGAAAUCAAGAAGGAGGCAGCAUGGACAAUUUCCAAUGCCACUUCCGGGGGUUCCCGAGAACAGAUUCAGUAUGUUUUGGCCAAUCUUGUCCUCCUAUUUCAUUGUUCUCUUCUUCUUUGUGAGGAAAUUUUUAUUGAUGCUGAAUAACAUUAGUUAAUAGGGAGAGCUAGGCAAUGGUCCUUUCUGCAUGGGUAACUGUUGAAGGAAAACAAUAAGCUCUGUUUCUGAAGACCAACAGAUUUGGUCUGACAGUACUGAUAUUCAGAGUCUCGUGUGACUUUCAGUAAUAUUUUCCCUUGACUUGGCGUUGACCUAGUGACUGUUAUAUUUUGAGCAAAUCAGCUAAGUUAGCAUUCAAUAUUUCAAUUACUUAACGUAGUUUUUUCAUCAGUUUACAAAUUUGAGUUAUCAAAAUCUGGUUUUCGGACAAGAUAAAAUUGCAUAUCUGGAGUUAGUAAGUUCUGAGGCUAAUAGGAAACUGAUACAUGAGGAAUUAGUUGGACAACAAAGUCCCUACCAUAUAUGGCCAGCCAAGUACUUAAGCAGUUAAGCUUGAGACUUAUAAUGGGUACUGCCAUUCUCCAUGUUGUAUAUAUUUUAAGGUUUGGUUAUUUACUCCAAUUGUAGCAUACUGUAAUUUUAGCUGCUUCAGUCAAGUAACAGCUUGGACUAUGUUCUUGAGAUUCAUUUUGUUGCCUUUACCUCUACUUUUCCCCUCCAUGAUCAGAAUAUAUGAUUUGCUUAUUAUGUUUGACUUUGGUUGUUUGAUUGAUCAGACAUUUGGUGAGCCAAGGUUGCAUUAAGCCACUUUGUGAUCUUCUGGUUUGUCCUGAUCCUAGAAUUGUGACAGUGUGCCUUGAGGGUCUGGAGAGUAUUCUAAAGAUUGGUGAAACUGAAAUGGAAUUGGGUAAUACCUCAAUCAAUAUCUAUGCACAGAUGAUAGAUGAGUGUGAUGGGUUAGAUAAAAUUGAAAAUCUGCAGAGCCAUGACAACCAUGAGAUUUAUGUAAAGGCAGUUAAGAUUUUGGAGAGGUACUGGAUUGAAGAAGAGGAGGACCAGAAUGUUGUAGAUGGCAGUGGAGACAUGAGCUUUGGGACAAACCAGCAGCCAAGCCUUCCCUCGGGAGGAUUCAAAUUUAGCUGAAAUUGUUGCAAUAGAUGUUUUUUUCAGCUUUAGGGCUCU